Molecule: ribosomal RNA, 447 nt
Filed under: uncultured bacterium
Lineage: Bacteria
Description: bacterial SSU rRNA
Rfam family: Bacterial small subunit ribosomal RNA
Source: RNAcentral
CGCCAGACUCCUACGGGAGGCAGCAGUGGGGAAUAUUGCACAAUGGGGGAAACCCUGAUGCAGCGACGCCGCGUGAGUGAAGAAGUAAUUCGUUAUGUAAAGCUCUAUCAGCAGGGAAGAAAAUGACGGUACCUGACUAAGAAGCCCCGGCUAACUACGUGCCAGCAGCCGCGGUAAUACGUAGGGGGCAAGCGUUAUCCGGAUUUACUGGGUGUAAAGGGAGCGUAGACGGCAUGGCAAGUCAGAUGUGAAAGCCCGGGGCUCAACCCCGGGACUGCAUUUGAAACUGUCAGGCUGGAGUGCAGGAGAGGUAAGUGGAAUUCCUAGUGUAGCGGUGAAAUGCGUAGAUAUUAGGAGGAACACCAGUGGCGAAGGCGGCUUGCUGGACGAUGACUGACGUUGAGGCUCGAAAGCGUGGGGAGCAAACAGGAUUAGAUACCCGUGUAC